RNAcentral lists this ribosomal RNA (380 nucleotides) under uncultured eukaryote. Its description in RNAcentral is "partial 18S ribosomal RNA". It matches the Rfam family "Eukaryotic small subunit ribosomal RNA", at positions 592 to 976 of the family's 1831-position model. The record is from RNAcentral.
CAAUAGCGUAUAUUAAAGUUGUUGCAGUUAAAAAGCUCGUAGUUGGAUUUGUGGCGUACGGUGUGUUCCGGGCACUUGUUGUCUGAGUAACCUGCUGUUGCCAUCCUUGGGUGGAACCUGUGUGGCAUUAGGUUGUCGUGCAGGGGAUGCCCAUCAUUUACUGUGAAAAAAUUAGAGUGUUCAAAGCAGGCUUAUGCCGUUGAAUAUAUUAGCAUGGAAUAAUGAGAUAGGACUUUUUUGCUAUUUAGUUGGUUUGCGCAAAGAGGUAAUGAUUAAUAGGGACAGUUGGGGGUAUUCGUAUUCCAUUGUCAGAGGUGAAAUUCUUGGAUUUUUGGAAGACGAACUACUGCGAAAGCAUUUACCAAGGAUGUUUUCAUUAA